GAUGAACGCUGGCGGCGUGCCUAAUACAUGCAAGUCGAGCGAACAGACGAGGAGCUUGCUCCUCUGACGGUAGCGGCGGACGGGUGAGUAACACGUGGAUAACCUACCUAUAAGACUGGGAUAACUUCGGGAAACCGGAGCUAAUACCGGAUAAUAUAUUGAACCGCAUGGUUCAAUAGUGAAAGACGGUUUUGCUGUCACUUAUAGAUGGAUCCGCGCCGCAUUAGCUAGUUGGUAAGGUAACGGCUUACCAAGGCAACGAUGCGUAGCCGACCUGAGAGGGUGAUCGGCCACACUGGAACUGAGACACGGUGCAGACUCCUCCGGGAGGCAGCAGUAGGGAAUCUUCCGCAAUGGGCGAAAGCCUGACGGAGCAACGCCGCGUGAGUGAUGAAGGUCUUCGGAUCGUAAAACUCUGUUAUUAGGGAAGAACAAAUGUGUAAGUAACUAUGCACGUCUUGACGGUACCUAAUCAGAAAGCCACGGCUAACUACGUG
Molecule: ribosomal RNA, 497 nt
Filed under: uncultured bacterium
Lineage: Bacteria
Description: partial 16S ribosomal RNA
Rfam family: Bacterial small subunit ribosomal RNA
Source: RNAcentral